AAAUCUAUCUAUAGUCCUUGUUUCUGGAGGUUGUUGCCAUGGUGAGAUUUGAUUUCAUGUAUGUUCUUUUGUGAUCUAUUAACCUAGCCAUCAUCAUGGAUUUUAUUAUUUUUGAGUCAGAGUCGCACUCUGUUGCUCAGGCUGGAGUGCAGUGGUGUAAUCUUGGCUCGUUGGAACCUCCGCCUCCCAGGUUCAGGUGAUUCUUGUGCCUUAGCCUCCGGAGUAGCUGGGAUUACAGGCACGCACCACCAUGCUUGGCUACUUUUGUAAUUUUAGUAGCGACGGGGUUUCGCCAUGUUGGCCAGGCUGGUUUUGAACUCUGGCCUCAAGUGAUCUACCUGUCUCAGCCUCCCAAAGUGCUAGGAUUAUAGGAGUGAGCCACUGUGCCUGGCCUGGUUUUAUUAUUACUAUUUUUAAUAUUUGUUUCUUCAUAUGAUAGAGACAGUGUCUUGUUAUGUUGCCCAGGCUGGUCUUCAACUCCUGGGCUCGAGAUCCUCCUGCCUCAACCCCCCAAAGUGUUGGUAUUAUAGGCGGGAGCUACUGUGCUUGGCCCAGUUUUAUUAUUUUAAAAUAGUAAGUUAGCCAUUAUACUUAAGAUGUGAAAAUUCCAAAUAUAGUGUUAAAAAAGUACAUAGAAGACUGAUUUUUCCCUUUCUGAAACUGUAGAGAAGCAGUUUUCUAGGCCAUGAAAAAAGGGCAAGAGCCUUAUUAAAUAUAUAAUUUGAAGCAUUUUAAAAUAUAGAUUUGAUUGGAAAUAGAAACUUGGCCAAGCUGUUACUACUCCAUCUUAUAGGCAGAAUAAUAAUGUGAUUUCUCAAAAUAAAAAUAGAAAAGCAAAAACUGGGUCUUGCUGCUAGAAAACCAGCUUCGAGAUUGGCUUCAGGUUUUCAAAAUCCUGAUAAAUUCAAUAAUGAUGUCCAUGAAGUAUUCAUUUGUUGAAUAAAUUAAUUUGAGCAAAAAUUAUAUUUUAGUUAUAUUUACAUUUUUAAAAUAAAAUAGAAAAAUCCCUUAUUACCCUGCUUCUCCAAAUAGCUUUGUUAAUUUGUGCAUAUUUACUUUAAGUUUUUUGUAGUUGCAGUCACUAAUAUCCAGACUACUUUGAAUUCUGGUUUGGAAAAAGCUCAGUAUUGUAAACCUUUCCUCAUGUUUUUGCAGGGCCUCUACUUUUGUUGACUGUAAGUUUUCAACAGUCAUGCUGAUGUCCUAAUGACCUGCUUGUUUUUGGUGGAUUUACUUAGUGGGAGCAGGAGCUGAGGUUAUGCGUGUUUAGUCCUCCAGCCUUGAAAUUCUUAUGGCCUUUCAGGGACUCAGUACUGAUGUGACUGAAUUGGACUUGAAGAGUAGAUUUCCUUUGUGUGAAUUAGGUGGAACUGUUUAUGCAUGUCUGGGUUGCUAAAGGGAAAGGAAGUGAGUUGAGAAGGGAAGGGAGACAUACUUUUGUCCAAAUUUAUGCCCUAACAGUCUGAUUUUUUUUUUUAAAUAUAGAAAUACUUGUUAAAUAUCUUCCAUCAACAGAUAAACAGAUGGACAAAAAGAUUUCUAUUUUAAAGGAUCAUGGCUAUAUAGAAAAUUUGACAUUUGGAUGGGAUGGACCAUCUUGGAGGCUACUCACAGCCCUUAAGUUGUUAUGUCUGGAAGCUGAGAAAUUUACAUGCUGGAAAAAAGUACUUCUUGGGGAGGUAAUUUCAGAUACGAAUGAGAAGACAAGUUUGGACAUAGCCCAGAAAAUAUGCUAUUAUUUCAUAGAAGAGACUAAUGCUGUGCUUCAAAAGGUGUCUCAUAUGAAGGAUGAAAAAGAGGCCCUGAUAAACCAACUAACGUUGGUGGAAUCCUUGUGGACGGAAGAGCUAAAGAUUCUCAGGGCAUCUGCCGAGACCCUGCACAGUUUGCAAACAGCUUUUACCUGAUUUCACCGAAGCGCAUUUGGUCACCUCCUCUGAAACAAAAGUUAAUUUUGAAGAGCAUCAUCAUGGGCUGGGGUGGUGGCUGCCCCCAGGACAUGCAGGAUUUCUGCAGGGGGCAGCACAGGUUCUGGGAUUGUGAGGCUGUGAGUGAAGGUGGACAAGCUGUCUGGAUGGCAGGUCUAAUGCUCUUCCGAAUAAAGUGCUGAACUGUGAGGAGAGAGGCGGACUGUGAGGCAGCCAGGAGCCAGCUGCGUCCGUGUGUGGUCUGUCACCACGGGGCCUGCUUCUUAUCUGACACAGCAGCUAUCAGAGUCUAGUGGUUGUGCUUUUAAGAUGCUCUGAUACCAUUGGGUUAAGGGGCAGAUUGGCGGUGGGUGUGGGGCAGUGUGAGGUAGUCCUGGGUCCCCGCCAGGGUGGCCCAGACGCCAGCCCUUCCCUGUGUGGCUGCACUGAGGUGGGUGUUGAAGAGCCCCCUAGGGGACAUACAGCUUCCAGGAGGAGGGAAUGUCCUCUAAGCAUGCUCCUGGCCUCUCAAGGUGGCGCUUGCCUAAUUAUUCACUUGGGAAGAAUGACUAGCUCAGCCAGCGGCUCUUUCUGCUUUGUUCUGGCGACUUUCCUGGGCAGGCCUUUCCACCUGGGGAGCUGGCUCAUCCUGCACAGCUGGGCCGUGGUGGGCCUGUCUGCUUGAUUCUGGGGUUCAGUGUAGGUCAGCUGAUGGCAAACCAUGGUGGUGGUUUGGCUUCUGUUUUUUUUCUUGAGUUUUGAUACCGUGCAGACCUUGGGUGGGGAGAGCUUCCUGCACAGCUCUCAGCGGCCUGUGGCCUUGGAACUGCCUGCGUAAGUAACGGAGGGGCUGCUGGUCCUGUUCAGGCCCGUGCUGGGGACGCCGCUUAGACAAUGUUGCCCAGAGUCCUGUUUACCCUCCCAGGGUUCAUUCUUCCCAAGAACUCAAAUUCCUUUCUCAUUGGAGCCUAGUGAAACCAAAUGAACGGGACCUGCUGGCCUCAGGAGGCAGGCAGAGUUUAAAAUAAAACUUUCUCAUGAUUUCUUGAACAUCUUUCCCUGUUUGUAUAUACACUUUGUGUUUAUUUUUCAAUAGCUGCAGUAUAUUUUUUUUCAAUAUUCAGUAUAAUGCAGUGUAUUUCAUCAUAUGCUGUAUGGAGAGUGGGCAGACUUCUGUGGAGGGCCCGAUAGUAACCAUUUGAAGCUUUCUGGACCUGUGGUCUUAGUCCCAGCGAUUCUGCAGAGCGGCCAUCGGCAGCAUGUCAACCAUUUGCAUGGCUGGGCUCCAGGGAAACUACUGACAAUGACAGAUGGUGGGCCAUAGUUUCCUGACCCCUGUGCUAUGCCAGAAUUUCUUUUUCCUCUUCCCUAUGAGUGGACCUAAAUAUGUUAAUUCCUUUUCACCUUUCAAAACGGACAGCCCCUUGAACAUUAAAAACUUUGCAGACCCU
This 3358-nucleotide small RNA is filed under the name Pan troglodytes (chimpanzee). RNAcentral's name for it is "retained intron". Lineage: Eukaryota; Metazoa; Chordata; Mammalia; Primates; Hominidae. The record is from RNAcentral.